UGGGGAAUAUUGGGCAAUGGGCGCAAGCCUGACCCAGCAACGCCGCGUGAAGGAAGAAGGCUUUCGGGUUGUAAACUUCUUUUGUGAGGGACGAAACAAAUGACGGUACCUCACGAAUAAGCCACGGCUAACUACGUGCCAGCAGCCGCGGUAAUACGUAGGUGGCGAGCGUUAUCCGGAUUUACUGGGUGUAAAGGGCGUGUAGGCGGGACUGCAAGUCAGAUGUGAAAACCAUGGGCUCAACCCAUGGCCUGCAUUUGAAACUGUAGUUCUUGAGUGAUGGAGAGGCAGGCGGAAUUCCGUGUGUAGCGGUGAAAUGCGUAGAUAUAUGGAGGAACACCAGUGGCGAAGGCGACUUUCUGGUCUGUAACUGACACUGAGGCUCGAAAGCGUGGGGAGCGAACAGGAUUAGAUACCC
This 418-nucleotide ribosomal RNA is filed under the name uncultured bacterium. Its description in RNAcentral is "bacterial SSU rRNA". It matches the Rfam family "Bacterial small subunit ribosomal RNA", at positions 355 to 787 of the family's 1533-position model. The record is from RNAcentral.